AAUUCAUACACAAAAACAGAGAGGAGCAAGCAUUCCAUAUCUCAUAUUUUUCAUCUUCAACAUCAAUUGAAAAGGUUAGUCCACCAUGAUCUUAUUAGCCAAUCAUGUUUAGCUAAACAAAGUUUAUUUAACUGAAUUUUUAUGUAUGGUUUCCUGCUAUGGCUUUCUUUUUUAUGCUUCUUUUCUUCAGAUCCUUUGUAUUCUUGCUCCUUCUUCUUCUUCUUCUUUUUUCUCCUGAUUAGGUUUUAUGUAUAUUUUAUACAUCAGAUCUUGAGAACUUGAACGGAAGGGAGGGAAUUACAAUCAUGGAAAGCGAGAAAGGGAAAGCAAUCAAAUUAUCGGUAUUUCAUGAUACAAUAUUUAUUACAACUAAAGUUGACAAAAUAAAUGGAAUUUGAAGGAACCCUCUGUCGUUGAUUGUGUUAUCUUUCAAAAUUUAUACACUAAAAACUCUAAAUAUCUUUUUGAUACUAUUAGUAAAUUUUAACUUAUGAUAGCAAAUUAUAAGUUACUAAUUAGAUGUCCCUGAUUAUCAUCUUUCUUUUUGGUUCCAAUAUGUU
This 560-nucleotide long non-coding RNA is filed under the name Nicotiana tabacum (common tobacco). Its description in RNAcentral is "long non-coding RNA (NTAB_LNC010969)". Lineage: Eukaryota; Viridiplantae; Streptophyta; Magnoliopsida; Solanales; Solanaceae. The record is from RNAcentral.